AUACUAAAGAAUUUAUAUGUUAAUUUAUAGAAGAGACAGUGCUGGGGGGACGUGUUGUUGUAUGAUGGGAUCAGGAUUAAAAAAAAACAGUCCAAUGAACUAGAAUAAACUUACCAAGAUGAAAUAGAAAUAAAUGGAAAGUGCUGCAUUUAAAUUAGGAAAACAAUAUAAAAAUACAUGAUGGGGGCAGGGCAAGGUGAAAUGCAAUUUAAAACAGCUCAACAUGUGGUUUGAAACAGCUCAGUGUGAGCCAACAGCACAACACGAUUGCUAAAAAGCACGAGAUUAAGGGAGUGCAUGAUCCCUUGGUUAUCCCUCAGGUCAGGUGACAUGUGGAACAUUAGGGGCAGUGAUGGUGGCUGUAUCUUAAGGAUCCAUAUAAUAAAUGAGAGAGUUUCCAAGGACCAACCAGACUUCUGAAGGGCCUAGAAAUCACCUCUUUCAGAAAACAGCUUAGUUAACCAAAGGUGGCCUGGAGAAAAGAAGUUAGGACAAAUGCCUUAAAUGGCUGCUGGACUGAUUAGGAGAAAAGGGGAGGGGAUGUCUUUUGUCUUCUUAGAGGAUUAGGAAAAAGUACAAGCUUCAGGGAGGCAGACUCCAGCUCAAUGCAAAGGAAGAACUGCCUGUUCCAACUCCAGAAUGGGCUGCCUUUUAAGCAGAGAACUCCUAGCACCAGAAAUAUCCAACAAGAAGCUGAAUGAACCCUUAUUCAUUGGGACUCCUGAAUAGCCUCCUAACUGGUCUGUUCAUGUCCACCCUAGCUUCUGAAGAGUCCAUUCUCUUCACAAUCAUUCAAACAAUCUUUUAAAACCGCUAAUAAAAUCUAACUACUCUCUUAGGCUUCCCAAGGGGAUCCAAUUACUCUUAGAAUAAAACCCAAACUUGAGACUUUGGCCUUCAAGGCCCUAAAUAAUCUGGCCCUAACUUUCCCUGCACUCCAUCUCAAAUUAAUCUUCUUUCUCUUCACCAUCUCCAGAGCUCAGCUCUUCAUGAUGCUCUUAUUCCCACCUAAGGGGUUUUGCACAUCCUGAUGUUUAUUCCAUCAGAUGCUUACAAGGCUGACUCCUUUGGGUCUCUUCUAGGAAAACACCUCCUGAAAGAGCUGUGACCGCUUUAAUCUAAAACACCACCAUUCCUACUCACAUACACACCGUUUCCAUUACUUUUUCUUCAUAGCACUUACUCCUACCUGAAAUUACACUGACUUAUUUAUAUAUUGUCUGUGUUCCCUAGUAGUAAAUUCCAUGAAGGUAGCAACUUCGAUCUAGUUUGUCCACUGUUUUAAUUCUCAAUUCCUAAAACAGUACCUGUGCAUAUUAGGUACUUAGUAAAUAUUAGGUGAAUAAACACAUAAAUGAAUUAACAAACAUUUGUCAGAGAUGUUCUAGAAGGGAUGUAUGCCUUUAAUGGCAGAAGGGUGGCCUACCUAGUAUCUAAAAUUUAUCUUAUAUAUAAAUAACAAGCUACGCUAUUGUCGGAUCGUUGCUAGACGCUGACCUUGAGAACUGCCCACUAAUUAGAGUAUAUAUUACACGGAUAAUGCAGAUUGUCAGAUGAUUCUGACCUUUAAAGAUAAAUAAAGUAACUAGAUGUCGAACGCUACCCUAGUUGCUGAGACGGGGAAAGAUCAGGAAAUAGACGCGGAUGCUUUGUUUAAGUGCAUUUAAUUUGGCAAAUGAACGAGAAAGAUUACAGUUCUCCAAACCUUCCAUCACAGUGAUGACCUUAAUUUAUCAUUACUUUUCUGAACUUUACUUCACCAUCCCUUGUUUUUCUUUGUAGAUUUGCCCCAUGUGUUUGUAUCACUAUAGAAUACUUCAUUUUGUUUGGUAUUGAGCUUUAUUCAUCGAAUCGCUUCCUCUGGCACUUUGCUUCCCUCAGUAUUGCUUUUGGCAUUCAUCCACAUCAAAGCAAGUCUCUGUGCUUCUUUC
Long non-coding RNA from Phyllostomus discolor (pale spear-nosed bat), 1931 nucleotides. RefSeq lists it as uncharacterized. The record is from RefSeq and is a predicted model, not a curated record. Lineage: Eukaryota; Metazoa; Chordata; Mammalia; Chiroptera; Phyllostomidae. The transcript has 2 exons.